CCUACGGGCGGCAGCAGUGGGGAAUAUUGGGCAAUGGGCGCAAGCCUGACCCAGCCAUGCCGCGUGCAGGAAGACGGCUCUAUGAGUUGUAAACUGCUUUUGUACAAGGGUAAACCUUAAUAUGUGUAUUCAUCUGAAAGUACUUUACGAAUAAGGAUCGGCUAACUCCGUGCCAGCAGCCGCGGUAAUACGGAGGAUCCAAGCGUUAUCCGGAUUUAUUGGGUUUAAAGGGUGCGUAGGCGGAUUGAUAAGUUAGAGGUGAAAUGUCCGAGCUCAACUCGGGAACUGCCUCUAAUACUGUUGAUCUAGAGAGUAGAUGCGGUAGGCGGAAUGUAUGGUGUAGCGGUGAAAUGCUUAGAGAUCAUACAGAACACCGAUUGCGAAGGCAGCUUACCAAUCUAUAUCUGACGUUGAGGCACGAAAGCGUGGGGAGCAAACAGGAUUAGAUACCCUGGUAGUC
Molecule: ribosomal RNA, 460 nt
Filed under: uncultured bacterium
Lineage: Bacteria
Description: partial 16S ribosomal RNA
Rfam family: Bacterial small subunit ribosomal RNA
Source: RNAcentral